AUUGAACGCUGGCGGCAUGCCUUACACAUGCAAGUCGAACGGUAACAGGUCUUCGGAUGCUGACGAGUGGCGAACGGGUGAGUAAUACAUCGGAACGUGCCUAGUAGUGGGGGAUAACUACUCGAAAGAGUGGCUAAUACCGCAUGAGAUCUACGGAUGAAAGCAGGGGAUCGCAAGACCUUGUGCUACUAGAGCGGCCGAUGGCAGAUUAGGUAGUUGGUGGGAUAAAAGCUUACCAAGCCGACGAUCUGUAGCUGGUCUGAGAGGACGAUCAGCCACACUGGGACUGAGACACGUCCCAGACUCCUACGGGAGGCAGCAGUGGGGAAUUUUGGACAAUGGGCGCAAGCCUGAUCCAGCAAUGCCGCGUGCAGGAUGAAGGCCUUCGGGUUGUAAACUGCUUUUGUACGGAACGAAAAGCCCUGGGUUAAUACCCUGGGGUCAUGACGGUACCGUAAGAAUAAGCACCGGCUAACUACGUGCAAGCAGCCGCAGUAA
Molecule: ribosomal RNA, 498 nt
Filed under: uncultured bacterium
Lineage: Bacteria
Description: partial 16S ribosomal RNA
Rfam family: Bacterial small subunit ribosomal RNA
Source: RNAcentral